AGUAACACGUGGGCAACCUGCCUGUAAGACUGGGAUAACUUCGGGAAACCGAAGCUAAUACCGGAUAGGAUCUUCUCCUUCAUGGGAGAUGAUUGAAAGAUGGUUUCGGCUAUCACUUACAGAUGGGCCCGCGGUGCAUUAGCUAGUUGGUGAGGUAACGGCUCACCAAGGCAACGAUGCAUAGCCGACCUGAGAGGGUGAUCGGCCACACUGGGACUGAGACACGGCCCAGACUCCUACGGGAGGCAGCAGUAGGGAAUCUUCCGCAAUGGACGAAAGUCUGACGGAGCAACGCCGCGUGAGUGAUGAAGGCUUUCGGGUCGUAAAACUCUGUUGUUAGGGAAGAACAAGUACAAGAGUAACUGCUUGUACCUUGACGGUACCUAACCAGAAAGCCACGGCUAACUACGUGCCAGCAGCCGCGGUAAUACGUAGGUGGCAAGCGUUAUCCGGAAUUAUUGGGCGUAAAGCGCGCGCAGGCGGUUUCUUAAGUCUGAUGUGAAAGCCC
RNAcentral lists this ribosomal RNA (508 nucleotides) under Priestia megaterium. RNAcentral describes it as "bacterial SSU rRNA". It matches the Rfam family "Bacterial small subunit ribosomal RNA", at positions 109 to 603 of the family's 1533-position model. The record is from RNAcentral. Lineage: Bacteria; Bacillati; Bacillota; Bacilli; Caryophanales; Bacillaceae.